AGCACUGUGUUUAAACCUGUGGAUGAGAAUUUUCCCCAUUCUUGGUUAUGCUGUAGUGCCAAAAAAUCCCUGCCUCUUCCUUGCUGCACAGCUGACUUUGCGUCAUUCUGCUGUUGCUACGUGGAGUUGAGGAACAUAA
Small nucleolar RNA from Camelus dromedarius (Arabian camel), 139 nucleotides. The record is from Ensembl. Lineage: Eukaryota; Metazoa; Chordata; Mammalia; Artiodactyla; Camelidae.